GCUGCUAAAAAUCAUGAAACUGUCAAUACAUCACCCUCAAAGGUAGUACUGUCUCUCUGUGACCACAUACUCAACUUAGGUCACACACUAGCCACAGAUAACUGGUAUACCAGCCUUGAUUUAGCCAAUGAACUUCUCGAUAAAGACACACAUCUGGUUGGGACGCUGCGAAAAAACAGAAAAGGUUUGCCGAAGAACGUGGUGGAGGCUAAAUUAAGGCCAGGAGAAACCAUCGCAAUGGAAAAUGAGCGUGGAAUAUGUGUUCUCAAAUGGAAAGACAAACGUGACGUUUUAAUGCUUUUGACAAAACAUUCGAAGUCGAUGACGA
Molecule: long non-coding RNA, 328 nt
Organism: Aricia agestis (brown argus)
Lineage: Eukaryota; Metazoa; Arthropoda; Insecta; Lepidoptera; Lycaenidae
Exons: 2
Source: RefSeq, a predicted model, not a curated record